AAGCUCGUAGUUGAAUUUCGGGGUUAGUAGGUUGGUCAUGCCUCUGGUAUGUACUGGUCUCACUGAUUCCUCCUUCCUUAUGAACCGUAAUGCCAUUAAUUUGGUGUUGCGGGGGAUUUUGGACUGUUACUUUGAAAAAAUUAGAGUGUUUAAAGCAAGCUAACGCUUGAAUACAUUAGCAUGGAAUAACGAAAUAGGACGUUCGAUCUUAUUUUGUUGGUUUCUUAGGAUUGACGUAAUGAUUAAUAGGGAUAGUUGGG
This 260-nucleotide ribosomal RNA is filed under the name uncultured Glomus. Its description in RNAcentral is "partial 18S ribosomal RNA". It matches the Rfam family "Eukaryotic small subunit ribosomal RNA", at positions 624 to 886 of the family's 1831-position model. The record is from RNAcentral. Lineage: Eukaryota; Fungi; Glomeromycota; Glomeromycetes; Glomerales; Glomeraceae.